AUCCACUGACUGUCUUGUUAGAUUAAUCCAAAAAUUUUCAUUCACUCCGCAUACUCAAUCCUAUAGACACCUUUUUAAUCCUUCAAUCACAGAUGUAACUUUGAUUUUACAAAACAGUCAAGAGUAAUCACACCCACUUCAUUAAAAUCUCAAUUCACCAAUACAACACUGACUUCAGCAACGAUUGCCUCAGUCUUCCCAAAAUCCUAUGAAGAAAAAAAAAAACCCCAAUUCUCUGUCUUUUUUUC
This 248-nucleotide long non-coding RNA is filed under the name Physcomitrium patens. Its description in RNAcentral is "long non-coding RNA (PPAT_LNC007880)". The record is from RNAcentral. Lineage: Eukaryota; Viridiplantae; Streptophyta; Bryopsida; Funariales; Funariaceae.